RNAcentral lists this ribosomal RNA (918 nucleotides) under uncultured archaeon. RNAcentral describes it as "bacterial SSU rRNA". It matches the Rfam family "Archaeal small subunit ribosomal RNA", at positions 1 to 923 of the family's 1478-position model. The record is from RNAcentral.
UUCCGGUUGAUCCUGCCGGAAGUCACUGCUAUUGGGAUUCGCCUAAGCCAUGCGAGUCGAGAGGGUUCGGCCCUCGGCUGACGGCUCAGUAACACGUGGAUAAUCUGCCCUUAGGUGGAGGAUAACCUCGGGAAACUGAGAAUAAUACUCCAUAGGCCUAAGAUGCUGGAAUGCACCUAGACUUAAAGCUCCGGCGCCUAAGGAUGAGUCUGCGGACUAUCAGGUAGUAGUCAGGGUAAAGACCUGACUAGCCUACGACGGAUAUGGGUUGUGAGAGCAAUAACCCAGGGAUGAUAUCUGAGACACGAUAUCAGGCCCUACGGGGCGCAGCAGGCGCGAAAACUUCACACUGUGCGAAAGCACGAUGAGGGAAUCCCAAGUGCUUGCUCGCAAGAGUAAGCUGUUUCUUUGUUUAAAAUGCAUUGAGAGUAAGGGCUGGGUAAGACGGGUGCCAGCCGCCGCGGUAAUACCUGCAGCUCGAGUGGUGACCGCUAUUAUUGGGCCUAAAACGUCCGUAGCCGGUUUAAUAAAUGCCUGGGUAAAUCGUGUAGCUUAACUAUACGAAUUCCGGGUAGACUGUUAAACUUGAGACCGGGAGAAGCUAGAGGUACUCCUGGGGUAGAGGUGAAAUUCUGUAAUCCUAGGGGGACCACCAGUGGCGAAGGCGUCUAGCUAGAACGGGUCUGACGGUGAGGGACGAAGCCCUGGGGCGCAAACCGGAUUAGAUACCCGGGUAGUCCAGGGUGUAAACGCUGCUUGCUUGAUGUUAGUUGGGCUCUGAGCCCAAUUAGUGUCGGAGAGAAGUUGUUAAGCAAGCUGCCUGGGAAGUACGGUCGCAAGACUGAAACUUAAAAGGAAUUGGCGGGGGAGCACAGCAACGGGUGGAGCGUGCGGUUCAAUUGGGAUUCAACGCCGGGU